GAUGAAGAACGUAGCGAAAUGCGAUAAGUAAUGCGAAUUGCAGAAUUCAGCGAGUCAUCGAAUCUUUGAACGCAUAUUGCGCCCUUUGGCAUUCCGAAGGGCACACCUGUCCGAGCGCCGUCGCACAACUGAGGCGCAGCCUUGCGUUGGCGGGCGACUUGUGAGUAGCGAGUCGCCGCCCAAACGAGACGGCGCCGCGCCGCGGCCGACGAAGCACGAAAGCGGAAGUCGACGCGGAGGCGGUUGCCUGUAGGAAGACACAGCUUGGCCUCGGAUCAGGUGGGGAUACCCGCUGAACUUAAGCAUAUCAAUAAGCGGAGGA
Molecule: unclassified non-coding RNA, 322 nt
Filed under: soil metagenome
Description: partial contains 5.8S ribosomal RNA, internal transcribed spacer 2, and large subunit ribosomal RNA
Rfam family: 5.8S ribosomal RNA (bases 1-120)
Source: RNAcentral